UGAGGAAUAUUCCGCAAUGGGCGAAAGCCUGACGGAGCGACGCCGCGUGGAUGAUGAAGUCUUUCGGGAUGUAAAGUCCUUUCAGCAGGGACGAUAAUGACGGUACCUGCAGAAGAAGCCCCGGCUAACUACGUGCCAGCAGCCGCGGUAAUACGUAGGGGGCAAGCGUUGUCCGGAAUCACUGGGCGUAAAGGGCACGUAGGCGGCCAUGUAAGUCAGAUGUUAAAGGUAUAAGCUCAACUUAUAUUUCGCAUCUGAUACUGCUUGGCUAGAGAAUGGGAGAGGGAAACGGAAUUUCCGGUGUAGCGGUGAAAUGCGUAGAUAUCGGAAAGAACACCAGUGGCGAAGGCGGUUUCCUGGACCAUUUCUGACGCUGAGGUGCGAAAGCUAGGGGAGCAAACAGG
This 404-nucleotide ribosomal RNA is filed under the name uncultured bacterium. Its description in RNAcentral is "bacterial SSU rRNA". It matches the Rfam family "Bacterial small subunit ribosomal RNA", at positions 355 to 776 of the family's 1533-position model. The record is from RNAcentral.